ACAACAUUUGGAAACAGAUGUAAUACCGCAUAACAGCGUUGUUCGCAUGAACAACGCUUAAAAGAUGGCUUCUCGCUAUCACUUCUGGAUGGACCUGCGGUGCAUUAGCUUGUUGGUGGGGUAACGGCCUACCAAGGCGAUGAUGCAUAGCCGAGUUGAGAGACUGAUCGGCCACAAUGGGACUGAGACACGGCCCAUACUCUACGGGAGGCAGCAGUAGGGAAUCUUCCACAAUGGGCGCAAGCCUGAUGGAGCAACACCGCGUGAGUGAAGAAGGGUUUCGGCUCGUAAAGCUCUGUUGUUAAAGAAGAACACGUAUGAGAGUAACUGUUCAUACGUUGACGGUAUUUAACCAGAAAGUCACGGCUAACUGCGUGCCAGCAGCCGCGGUAAUACGUAGGUGGCAAGCGUUAUCCGGAUUUAUUGGGCGUAAAGAGAGUGCAGGCGGUUUUCUAAGUCUGAUGUGAAAGCCUUCGGCUUAACCGGAGAAGUGCAUCGGAAACUGGAUAACUUGAGUGCAGAAGAGGGUAGUGGAACUCCAUGUGUAGCGGUGGAAUGCGUAGAUAUAUGGAAGAACACCAGUGGCGAAGGCGGCUACCUGGUCUGCAACUGACGCUGAGACUCGAAAGCAUGGGUAGCGAACAGGAUUAGAUACCCUGGUAGUCCAUGCCGUAAAC
Molecule: ribosomal RNA, 677 nt
Filed under: uncultured bacterium
Lineage: Bacteria
Description: bacterial SSU rRNA
Rfam family: Bacterial small subunit ribosomal RNA
Source: RNAcentral